UUCUUAUCAGGUUAGAAGAUUCCCAAGCCCUCACUUCAGAGUUUAGAGCUGCGGGAUCAGAACAAAGGGGAGUUACUUCUGAGUUUCCAGAGUGGGCAAUAGCUCUUAGAUCAGCUAAGAGGUGGUCUUGAGCUGGGCAUGUUGAUUGACAUCUGAACUGAGACCCUGAGGCUUGAGGGGGAGAGAGGUGCGAGGGGAGUGGGGGGUGGGGAUAGUAUAAUAAAGUUCUCAGGGCCUCAGGGGUCAUUCUCCAGAGGGAUGUUUUAACCACAGAAAGGGAAAGGUGUGCUGGUACAGAUGUUCUGUAGGUUGACUUAAAGAAAAAUUAGCUAUUGUGAUGCCCCGUAAGUUCUUCCCAGGGCCCACACUGUAAGAGGAUGGUAAUUACAACCACCCAGCCAUCCAGGUGCUGGAGAACACCCUCUUCCCAUUCUCAGUCUUUUCCUCCAACAGCAUCUCAAAUGAUUAUGCCCCGGAAAGAAAAGAGGGCAAGGGCUUUACCUUAGACACUUCCCUAGACAAGUGAUCAGAACAGGCUGGUGCUGGAACCUUUCCCACAAAGCACUUACCUCUUAUUUUUCUUCCUCCUGGAUGUCAGGCUGCUCCCAGAUGACGCGGCUCUUUGCUCUUCAUGGUAUGGACACCUUUGCCACCAGACGUCUGCAGAUUAAAUCCACUGGGGAGUGGCUGCUGAAUAGCGUUAACAAUCUCACUUUGCCAUCAUCUUUGGGUUACGAUGAAGAGUUGUGCCUUACCACCGAGCAAGACAUUGUGUGGAAGGCAUUUCUUCAAGGUUGGCUCCUUGAUGAUGUCAUUUCCAUGACCAAAGGGUAUAUUUCUAAAGGAUCUGGAAUGCACAACAGAGUUAGAACAUGCAAAAGAUGCCACACCUCAGUUGCAGGUAGGUAA
This 909-nucleotide long non-coding RNA is filed under the name Ovis aries (sheep). Its description in RNAcentral is "lncRNA (ENSOARG00000026787.1)". The record is from RNAcentral. Lineage: Eukaryota; Metazoa; Chordata; Mammalia; Artiodactyla; Bovidae.